RNAcentral lists this ribosomal RNA (205 nucleotides) under Chaetoceros curvisetus. RNAcentral's name for it is "partial Bacterial small subunit ribosomal RNA". It matches the Rfam family "Bacterial small subunit ribosomal RNA", at positions 1313 to 1516 of the family's 1533-position model. The record is from RNAcentral. Lineage: Eukaryota; Bacillariophyta; Thalassiosirophyceae; Chaetocerotales; Chaetocerotaceae.
CGCCUACAUGAAGUCGGAAUCGCUAGUAAUCGCGGAUCAGCAUGCCGCGGUGAAUACGUUCCCGGGCCUUGUACACACCGCCCGUCACACCAUGAGAGUUUGUAACACCCAAAGCCGGUGGGGUAACCUUUUAGGAGCUAGCCGUCUAAGGUGGGACAGAUGAUUGGGGUGAAGUCGUAACAAGGUAGCCGUAGGGGAACCUGCG